AACACGGCAGUUAAGCUCUUCAGCGCCGAUGGUAGUUGGGGGUUUCCCCCUGUGAGAGUAGGACGCCGCCAAGC
Molecule: ribosomal RNA, 74 nt
Filed under: Peribacillus butanolivorans
Lineage: Bacteria; Bacillati; Bacillota; Bacilli; Caryophanales; Bacillaceae
Also listed under: 3 other names
Source: RNAcentral